UUUUUUUUUUCUUUUUGGGCAGCAAGGGGGCCAGGCCAACCACCCCACAGCUGCCGUAGUGACGGAGAAGCAGCAGAUGCUGGAACAGCAUCUUCAGGAUGUCCGGAAGCGUGUGCAGGAUCUAGAACAGAAAAUGAAAGUGGUGGAGAAUCUCCAGGAUGACUUUGAUUUCAACUAUAAAACCCUCAAGAGUCAAGGAGGCAAGUGAGCGGCGUGAUGUGGUGUGUGGGAGGUUAGCGGUGUCACUGAGUUCAGGACCUGCCUUCAUCCGUGGGACUUCAUGGUAGGACGGGGAGCUGCUGGUCCUUCAGGGGGCCACCUUUGAAUUGUUUGGUUUUGAGAUGGGAUUUGACUAUGUAGCUCAGGCUGACCAUGAGCCCGCUACCAUCUUACCUCAGCUGUCUGAGUAGCAGGGACUGCAGUUACACACAGAGUGGAGAGCCUCAUUGAGAAGGCUGUAUGGAUCCCCUCUGCUCAAGGAGUCUUUCCUCCUCCCAUCAGACAUGCAGGAUCUGAAUGGAAACAACCAGUCUGUGACCAGACAGAAGAUGCAGCAGCUGGAGCAGAUGCUCACGGCCCUGGACCAGAUGCGGAGGAGCAUCGUGAGCGAGCUGGCAGGGCUCUUGUCAGCAAUGGAGUACGUGCAGAAGACACUGACCGAUGAAGAGCUGGCUGACUGGAAGAGGCGGCAGCAGAUAGCGUGCAUCGGA
This 710-nucleotide long non-coding RNA is filed under the name Rattus norvegicus (Norway rat). Its description in RNAcentral is "long non-coding RNA NONRATT006035". Lineage: Eukaryota; Metazoa; Chordata; Mammalia; Rodentia; Muridae. The record is from RNAcentral.